AGCGGCGGACGGGUGAGUAACGCGUGGGUAACCUGCCUCAUACAGGGGGAUAACAGUUGGAAACGGCUGCUAAUACCGCAUAAGCGCACAGUACCGCAUGGUACGGUGUGAAAAACUCCGGUGGUAUGAGAUGGACCCGCGUCUGAUUAGGUAGUUGGUGGGGUAACGGCCUACCAAGCCGACGAUCAGUAGCCGGACUGAGAGGUUGAACGGCCACAUUGGGACUGAGACACGGCCCAG
RNAcentral lists this ribosomal RNA (240 nucleotides) under uncultured bacterium. Its description in RNAcentral is "partial 16S ribosomal RNA". It matches the Rfam family "Bacterial small subunit ribosomal RNA", at positions 94 to 334 of the family's 1533-position model. The record is from RNAcentral.